Molecule: long non-coding RNA, 218 nt
Filed under: Lathyrus oleraceus (garden pea)
Lineage: Eukaryota; Viridiplantae; Streptophyta; Magnoliopsida; Fabales; Fabaceae
Description: Pisum sativum (pea) long non-coding RNA (PSAT_LNC018607)
Source: RNAcentral
GCGUUGCCACAGGCGGUGGACCGGGUCCGAUGGGUAACAAUUUGAAGGACAGUCUAUUUCCUCCUUUCUUCGAGGCCGAGGAGGAUAGAGAAGAAGACCAGUUCUUCGUGCUUAAUGAACAGUUUGGUCAAUAUGGUGUCCAGCCACCAAGCAAAGAGAUUCAGGUGCUGGCGGAGAAAAUCAGGGCUCUUGAAAGCUAUGUUACUCCGGGGGUUAUU